GCAAAUUAGACUGCAUUAUAUUGAUAUGUUAUUAUCAAUUUCAACUCUGAUUAACUGCCAAUUAACAUAUGGUUGUUUCCAGAGAUGAAACAAUUGAGAACAGUGAACAGAGAGAUGAAGCCUCCUCACCCUGAAACUGCUUAUCUUUGCCCAGAAGUGACUUCUAACUUCCUUAGACAGGUCUGGGGUAUGACCUGGCUGUCAAUAUUCUCCAGCGACCUUCCCAGGAUUAUUUGCAUUUCUUUGAUUCUUCAUUUCAAAGCAAUAUGGUGGCUUCUGAUCAUGUUUGUACUGAUAAAAAUAUUUUCAUCUGAAAGUUUAUACAAAAGUGGAGAUCCUGUGAGAUCUCCAGAAAGCAUAAGGCUCUUGUUGGCCAAGAUGCCAUUAGUGGAGGCCUGUGGAGAGAGUGGGCUUGCCCUCAUUUUGGAGGGAGUUCUGCCCUCUGGUAGAACUCAACAUGUGUUGAGCCCCUGAGAGAGAACUCAGAGAAAUGAUUAUAAGAAGAAAGAAAAAAAAGAAAGGAAGAAAGAAAGGAAAAAAGAAAGAAGAAAGAAAGAAAGGAAGAAAGGAAGAAAGAAAGAAAGAAAGAAAGAAAGAAAGAAAGAAAGAAAGACUUUGAAAAAAUUAAAAAAGAAAAUGAGGAUGAGAUGGAGGGGGAUUAAAAAUCAGACAACAAUGCACCCAGCUUUCCUUGGACAACAGGAGAGCUGAAAGAAGCAAGAGGAGGACGUGGAUAUUCAGCAGGAAUAUUUGGGAGACAGGAAGACACAUGCAAAACUCUCAAAACAGAAUGUGAGCCUCAGGAGGUCAAGUUUCUGUGCUUUGAUGUGACCCUCUGUGGCCUCAUCCAUGAUCUCUCUGUCUCUGGUGAGAUUUCCGGCCCACCCUUGUAAAUAGACUUUUUUUUAAAACUUAAGAAAUAUGGUAAAUUUAAGUGAAAUGUUUAAGGUGAGCCUUUGUUUUUCUUCCUAACAUAAAAAAUACAUUUUAUUGAAAUCAAAUGCAAAUUUCACAUAACCAAAAAUACCUUUGAUGGAAUAUUUUAAUGAAGAAACCUUGGCAAUUGCCUCUUUGCAUGUAUCAGCAGUGAAUCUGAGUUGAAAAUGUGUUUGCUAGGAAAUGAGUUCUGUGAGCAGUCAUCGCACAUUAAAGUUGUUUCAGGAUCAACAGUUUUCUUAUAAAAUGUCCUUAAAUUUUAUUCACCUCAAGGCAAUUUAGACAUCAAGCAGACUUGGGAUCGAAUCUUAGUUCCACCCCUUGUUGCCUGAGAAGGCUGUUAACCUCUCUAAGCCUCAGUUUACUUAACUAUGUUAAAGGAACAGUAGUAACUUACAACAUUAUUAAAAGGAUUUAGGGUAAUUACCUGUGUAACAUUUCUAGCACAUAGUUGUGGUAAGUUUUAAUUCUUGCACAUGGUUACACAGUUACUUAUGGAUUGUGUAGUGUGGAGAAGGGGUACACAUUUCAGGAGCUGAAAUAUUGAGAGAAUGAAUGCACAGAAAUAAUUCCUGGCACAAUAGGCUAGAAAUAUCUGAGAAGAAUGAACACCUUCUCUUUCCUCAUUGAGUCAGAAGGGGGAGAGGCCUUCCUGGAGGAACAUUGGACUCUCUGGUGUCACCUUGGGGAACCCAUGAUUCCACUGGGAGAUAAGGAGGGAUCUAUUUAACUGAACAAUUUACACCAAAAAGGGGGUUUUGUGUGGAGGGGGAGACAAGGAAGUAAUGGAGUUCAGAGCUAAGCUGACUGAAUAGUCAACACAAGGGUGAAGAAUUUGGUUAGCUCAGGUUCAGAUAUGAAUAAUAUCUGUUGAGGACCCCAUGCAAUCUGGAACUGAAGAGGAGGCUUUAGUGUGGCUCUUAUGUAAUUCUCCCAUCUUGAAGUCAUUGCCCAGUGUACUAAUUAGAGAGUUGGGAUCCAAACUUCACAGAAAGAGAGAAUAUAUUAUUAUUUUAUUCAUUUGCUCAUUCAAUCAUACAUUUACUCAUUCUCAAAACAUUCAUAAGACAACUACUACUGUCACCAGGGACUGCCUAACAAGCCACAAUAAUCCCAUUUUCUACCCCUGCUUCCGGGUGCAGCCUGCCUCCAGAAUCUAAGGUGGGGUGUCAGAAGCCACAAGCUCCAAUUAAGCCUCUAUGACCCACUUGUUGACAGGUUUGAUCCAAUUUGGACACCAUGCUAACCCUCCAGAUGACCUCAAGAUCAUUGCCAUCUGACUAUAAUAAAACAUACACCUACUAGCA
Molecule: long non-coding RNA, 2243 nt
Organism: Vulpes vulpes (red fox)
Lineage: Eukaryota; Metazoa; Chordata; Mammalia; Carnivora; Canidae
Source: Ensembl